CUGUGCAAAGGUAGUAUAAUCAUUAGUUUUUUAAUUGAAGGCUUGUAUGAAAGGUUGGACAAAGAAUAAUCUGUUUUUAUUUUUAUUUUUGAAUUUAACUUUUAAGUGAAAAGGCUUAAGUGAAUUUAAGGGACGAUAAGACCCUAUAAAUCUUUAUAUUAGAUUAUUUUUAGUUAUUUAAUAUUGUGAGUAUAACAAUAAAGUGGUAUAUAUUGUGUUGGGGUGAUGAGAAUAUAAUAAAUAACUGUUCUAAAAUUAAAACAAAAUUAUUUGUAUAAAUAAUAGAUCCUUUAUUGAGAUUAAAAGUUUAAGUUACUUUAGGGAUAACAGCGUUAUUUUUUUUGAGAGUUCUUAUCGAAAAAAAAGUUUGCGACCUCGAUGUUGAAUUAAAAUUUCUUUGUGGUGUAGUUGUUACAAGAGAGAGUCUGUUCGACUUUUAAAUUUUU
This 446-nucleotide ribosomal RNA is filed under the name Gonionida asprosoma. RNAcentral describes it as "Munida asprosoma partial 16S ribosomal RNA". The stretch from base 323 to 446 matches the Rfam family "Bacterial large subunit ribosomal RNA", at positions 2473 to 2597 of the family's 2925-position model. The record is from RNAcentral. Lineage: Eukaryota; Metazoa; Arthropoda; Malacostraca; Decapoda; Munididae.